Long non-coding RNA from Sander lucioperca (pikeperch), 183 nucleotides. RefSeq lists it as uncharacterized. The transcript is spliced from 3 exons. The record is from RefSeq and is a predicted model, not a curated record. Lineage: Eukaryota; Metazoa; Chordata; Actinopteri; Perciformes; Percidae.
CAGAAGCUCUCUGGUAAACUAGUUUUUUUCUCCCUUAUAGAAAUGAUUUGUGGAAUGGUUAUCUCAGAAAAGUUCACCAUUCUUAUGAUUUGUGUGUAUUCAGAUCCUGAGGAUCCUGAAUUAGACGAGAAAGGAAAAUGUUCAUUUUCUUUUUCCUUUCAUCUGUGUAUCCUCAAAAUUUGA